UGCCAGCAGCCGCGGUAAUACGGAGGGCGCAAGCGUUGCUCGGAAUCACUGGGCGUAAAGCGAACGCAGGCGGCUUGUCAAGUUGGGUGUGAAAUCCCGGGGCUCAACCCCGGAACUGCAUUCAAAACUGGCAGCCUUGAGUAUGGGAGAGGGAAGCGGAAUUCCUGGUGUAGAGGUGAAAUUCGUAGAUAUCAGGAGGAACACCAGUGGCGAAAGCGGCUUCCUGGCUCAAUACUGACGCUCAUGUUCGAAAGCGUGGGGAGCAAACAGGAUUAGAUA
This 279-nucleotide ribosomal RNA is filed under the name uncultured bacterium. RNAcentral describes it as "partial 16S ribosomal RNA". It matches the Rfam family "Bacterial small subunit ribosomal RNA", at positions 506 to 784 of the family's 1533-position model. The record is from RNAcentral.